GAGUGGGGAGGAGAGAGGGACAGAGAGCCUGCUUCUUUAAAGGAGCAAAGCGGGAGAGGAGAGGAGCCGCUUACACAAGUGUAAGCGGCUCCUGUCUGGUUGGUUCCUUUAAAGCGAGCAGGCUCUCUGUCCCUCUCUCCUCUCCACUC
RNAcentral lists this microRNA precursor (149 nucleotides) under Podarcis lilfordi (Lilford's wall lizard). The record is from RNAcentral. Lineage: Eukaryota; Metazoa; Chordata; Lepidosauria; Squamata; Lacertidae.